GGAAUAUCAGAGUGGCUUGACCAGAAA
RNAcentral lists this non-coding RNA (27 nucleotides) under Rattus norvegicus (Norway rat). The record is from RNAcentral. Lineage: Eukaryota; Metazoa; Chordata; Mammalia; Rodentia; Muridae.